RNAcentral lists this ribosomal RNA (333 nucleotides) under uncultured eukaryote. RNAcentral's name for it is "partial 18S ribosomal RNA". It matches the Rfam family "Eukaryotic small subunit ribosomal RNA", at positions 1470 to 1796 of the family's 1831-position model. The record is from RNAcentral.
CCCUUAGAUGUUCUGGGCUGCACGCGCGCUACACUGAAGCGUUCAACGAGUAUUUCACCUUGCCCGGGAGGGUUGGGUAAUCUUUUUAAAACGCUUCGUGAUGGGGAUAGAUUAUUGCAAUUAUUAAUCUUCAACGAGGAAUUCCUAGUAAGCGCGAGUCAUCAGCUCGUGCUGAUUACGUCCCUGCCCUUUGUACACACCGCCCGUCGCUCCUACCGAUUGAACGGUUUAGUGAGGGCCUCGGAUUGGUCUCGGCCCGCUCUUUACCGGGCGGCGCCGUUGGUCGAGAAGACGCUCGAACUUGAUCGUUUAGAGGAAGUAAAAGUCGUAACA